RNAcentral lists this long non-coding RNA (532 nucleotides) under Sorghum bicolor (sorghum). Its description in RNAcentral is "long non-coding RNA (SBIC_LNC017372)". The record is from RNAcentral. Lineage: Eukaryota; Viridiplantae; Streptophyta; Magnoliopsida; Poales; Poaceae.
CCGGCGGCAGUGGAGCUGUCGGAGUCGCGGCCGGUGACAGUGGAGAAGGAGUUUCUAUCGGAGCCGCAGCCGGCGGCAGUGGAGGCAGGUGCGACGGAGCGGCAGGUCACGGGGAAACGGAGCUAGGCAGUCGGUCGAAUUCGGCAAGGUCGCAGCAGCUUGUUUUGCUCUUCCUCGUCGUUACCUUGGGCCUUAGAGACAUUCGUCAGUGUUCUACGGAUUAACAAAUCAGUUUGCUGCUUGCUGCUACCUUGGCUCUCCUGCUAAAGUUCAGAUUAUUUAGCAAUCUGUCCUUUUUUGGGUCCAUUUGCACUCAGUCUCGUGUUGCUUCCCUAUGUACAAUUAGAUGUUUUCCUAUGUACUCGUAUCGUCUAUGAUUAUUGAACUUGGCAAUGGCUGUGUUAGCUAUCUUCCUUUUGUACUUGUGUAUGAGAUGACUGUGAAAACAAAGGAGAUUAUAUGAAAGACGUCAUAACUAUAUUUAACUUAAUUAUUAUACUGAUGGUAAAAAAAUAUUAUAAUCAUGUUGUUC